Molecule: unclassified non-coding RNA, 955 nt
Filed under: Bradyrhizobium namibiense
Lineage: Bacteria; Pseudomonadati; Pseudomonadota; Alphaproteobacteria; Hyphomicrobiales; Nitrobacteraceae
Description: partial 16S-23S ribosomal RNA intergenic spacer
Rfam family: Bacterial large subunit ribosomal RNA (bases 842-955)
Source: RNAcentral
GUUUUAGAAACAUCAGUGGCCAACGAUCGUCAGGAUUGUUGAGCUGCAUUGGCGGGAUUUCGCCGUCUUCGUUUCUCUUUCUUCGCGGACGAACACGCGCCAGGGGCUAAAGCGCUGUGCGAUGCAUCGGCGCGAGCCGAUUACGCGCGCGCAUGUCCCUGAUCCUCAUCGGAGGAAGCGUUAGGGGCUUGUAGCUCAGUUGGUUAGAGCGCGCGCUUGAUAAGCGUGAGGUCGGAAGUUCAAGUCUUCCCAGGCCCACCAGCCUUCGCUGGCUUCGCCAGCUACGGCUAGGCAAGCCGGGUGGAGAGCGAAGGCUGCCACGUCGUAGCUCGAAGAGCGAAGACGGGCGCUAAGAACGCAGCAUUCGUCUUCUGGUACGGGGCCAUAGCUCAGCUGGGAGAGCGCGUGCUUUGCAAGCAUGAGGUCGUCGGUUCGAUCCCGUCUGGCUCCACCAGAUGAAAUCGAAGAUCGAGAGUGCCUCGAAUAUUUCGUCCGCGAAACAUCACUUCGCACGCGCUUGUCCGGAUGGACUGCGACGUGCGUGAUAUCUGACAUCGUAAAGAGGAGAUCGAUCCGAGUUUGGAUCAAGCGAAGCAAUUCGCCUGAUUCAAUCACUAUCUCCGGGAUCAUUUCGGCGCUCGCCCAUCGCAAGAUGAGUGAGUUGUAAAUGGUCCUCGUUAGCGAAGCUUGACCGCCUCGCUAUCGGUUCGAUCUUACGAAGCAAGCUGGUCUUUCUAAUCAGUGUCCGGCUGCGACAAUCGCAUUCAUCGAGGAUGCGUGCCUUCAAUGGCAGUUGCGCAGACAACAUUCUGCCGAGUGUGUGGACAUUGAUAAUGAGAGCAAUCAAGUGCCUUAAGGGUGUUCGGUGGAUGCCUUGGCGCUGAGAGGCGAUGAAGGACGUGCUACGCUGCGAUAAGCCGUGGGGAGCUGCGAAGAAGCUUUGAUCCACGGAUUC